This 247-nucleotide ribosomal RNA is filed under the name uncultured bacterium. RNAcentral describes it as "partial 16S ribosomal RNA". It matches the Rfam family "Bacterial small subunit ribosomal RNA", at positions 530 to 776 of the family's 1533-position model. The record is from RNAcentral.
GGGUGCGAGCGUUGUCCGGAAUCACUGGGCGUAAAGGGCGCGUAGGCGGCGCGGGAAGUCCGUGGUGAAAGCCCGAGGCUCAACUUCGGGUCGGCCAUGGAUACUCCUGGGCUUGAGCACUGUAGAGGCAGGUGGAAUUCCGGGUGUAGCGGUGGAAUGCGUAGAGAUCCGGAAGAACACCGGUGGCGAAGGCGGCCUGCUGGGCAGUAGCUGACGCUGAGGCGCGACAGCGUGGGGAGCAAACAGG